Molecule: unclassified non-coding RNA, 25 nt
Filed under: Mus musculus (house mouse)
Lineage: Eukaryota; Metazoa; Chordata; Mammalia; Rodentia; Muridae
Description: oocyte_clustered_small_RNA1754
Source: RNAcentral
UGAGGUUGGAUAUACUCUUUCUAAG